Non-coding RNA from Pelobates cultripes (western spadefoot toad), 226 nucleotides. The record is from the annotation of a GenBank genome assembly. Lineage: Eukaryota; Metazoa; Chordata; Amphibia; Anura; Pelobatidae.
UCGUUUCCAAAUAUUGCAGAAAAACUCGUUGAUGCUGCUGCAUCUGUCCAAAUGACCGGAGAGUGGACCGACAAUGGAGGCAAGAACAUACUUCUGCCAUUCCAUUGCAACAGGAAUUUGCACCACAUUAGCAAAAUCAGCUGUAGCCUGUGCCUCCAAGCUGAUACGAGUAACGUCAUUUGGUAUGAGAGGGAGGAGGCAAAGGAGUCUAGAAAUAAAGGCCCUG